Molecule: ribosomal RNA, 462 nt
Filed under: uncultured bacterium
Lineage: Bacteria
Description: partial 16S ribosomal RNA
Rfam family: Bacterial small subunit ribosomal RNA
Source: RNAcentral
GACGAACGCUGGCGGCGUGCUUAACACAUGCAAGUCGAGCGGUAAGGCCUUUCGGGGUACACGAGCGGCGCACGGGUGAGUAACACGUGGGUGAUCUGCCCUGCACUUCGGGAUAAGCCUGGGAAACUGGGUCUAAUACCGGAUAUGACCUCCUAUCGCAUGGUGGGUGGUGGAAAGAUUUAUCGGUGCAGGAUGGGCCCGCGGCCUAUCAGCUUGUUGGUGGGGUAAUGGCCUACCAAGGCGACGACGGGUAGCCGACCUGAGAGGGUGACCGGCCACACUGGGACUGAGACACGGCCCAGACUCCUACGGGAGGCAGCAGUGGGGAAUAUUGCACAAUGGGCGAAAGCCUGAUGCAGCGACGCCGCGUGAGGGAUGACGGCCUUCGGGUUGUAAACCUCUUUCAGCAGGGACGAAGCGCAAGUGACGGUACCUGCAGAAGAAGCACCGGCUAACUACGUG